CCGAUCCCCCUGAGCCCAAGCACGUAGUGACUGUGGGCCGUGUAGUGUAGGAUGUGUGGAUUUCUGUUGUCCCUAUAGGUGGUUUUCUAGUUAUGGGAACAUUGAAGGUUGUGCCGUUUUUAGUAUUUGGAAUAAUUGUUUUGAUGCAUUGGGGGUCACGUUUAUCUGGUGCAUGGCAUACUUCCUUCUAGGGGGUAUUUAAGGCCAUUACACAUGUUGGCUCCUUGUGUGGCUGUAGCAGUAUUGUGACCCCGAUGUGACAUCAAACGUGAUGUUUGGUGUCCAUGUGUCUGGUUGACCUUUUUUUGCUGAAAGUGGAUCUAUUAUGCUCUAAUUUGUUAUAUGCACCAUGAAUGGAUACUACACGGCCACCAUAUUGUCUGAAUAUGACAUACUGUAUUAUCUUAUGAUCAGUAUAUGAUAUUUGGAAAUGAUAUUUUGCACACGGAAACUUGUCUUGAUAAAGAUCCCUAAUAGUGGAUCGAAACGUCGACAACAAUAAGCCUGACUUCUACUGAAAUAAAGUUAUUGUGAAAUUGAA
Pseudophryne corroboree (corroboree frog) is the source of this 541-nucleotide long non-coding RNA. RefSeq lists it as uncharacterized. Lineage: Eukaryota; Metazoa; Chordata; Amphibia; Anura; Myobatrachidae. The transcript is spliced from 4 exons. The record is from RefSeq and is a predicted model, not a curated record.